GGCCUGUCUCAGUUGGGUUCUCAACAAUCUGUGGAUGGAGUAACCACUUUGGCUUCAAAGGAAUAUGCAAUAUCACAAUCUGCCUUGACUGUUCUUCGCUGGAAAAGAGAGAAACUGCAUUAUCAGCUACGCAUUUUGGAAGACGAGAUUGCUUUGUGUAAUAAAACUAUUCAGGCAGAAUUAAACGGGGGUGAAAAUGAAGCUCUUAAAGAUGUCUGUAAUGACAUGUGUAAAGAAGAUGAAGACAGUGCCAAUCAACUGGUAGAAGACUCAUGUACUAUUCAAUAUAGCAAGGGAAAAAGAUUGUCCGAGGCUAUUCUUACUUUGCAAAACCAAUGUCAGCAACUGGAUCAAUUCUGCUGCAGGAAUAAUUGGG
Molecule: unclassified non-coding RNA, 376 nt
Filed under: Hevea brasiliensis (rubber tree)
Lineage: Eukaryota; Viridiplantae; Streptophyta; Magnoliopsida; Malpighiales; Euphorbiaceae
Source: RNAcentral